This 101-nucleotide small nucleolar RNA is filed under the name Macaca fascicularis (crab-eating macaque). Its description in RNAcentral is "Small nucleolar RNA U13 (ENSMFAG00000065224.1)". It matches the Rfam family "Small nucleolar RNA U13". Lineage: Eukaryota; Metazoa; Chordata; Mammalia; Primates; Cercopithecidae. The record is from Rfam by way of RNAcentral.
AUCCUUUUGGAAGUCAUAAGUGUGAUUGGGUUUUCAUGCCCAUGUGUCAAACGUGUCUCCCUCAAACCGUGUUACAAAGUGGGCACACUACCUGCCUGACG